This 431-nucleotide ribosomal RNA is filed under the name uncultured bacterium. RNAcentral's name for it is "partial 16S ribosomal RNA". It matches the Rfam family "Bacterial small subunit ribosomal RNA", at positions 338 to 795 of the family's 1533-position model. The record is from RNAcentral.
CCUACGGGUGGCUGCAGUCGAGAAUCUUCGGCAAUGGGCGCAAGCCUGACCGAGCGACGCCGCGUGUGGGAUGAAGGCCUUCGGGUUGUAAACCACUGUCAGAGGGGAUGCAUAGCCUCAGAGGAAGGACGGGCUAAGUUCGUGCCAGCAGCCGCGGUAAGACGAACCGUCCAAACGUUAUUCGGAAUUACUGGGCUUAAAGGGUGCGUAGGCGGCGCGGAAAGUUGGGUGUGAAAUCCCUCGGCUCAACCGAGGAACUGCGCCCAAUACUACCGUGCUUGAGGGAGAUAGAGGUGAGCGGAACUUAGGGUGGAGCGGUGAAAUGCGUUGAUAUCCUAAGGAACACCGGUGGCGAAAGCGGCUCACUGGAUCUCUCUGACGCUGAGGCACGAAAGCUAGGGUAGCGAACGGGAUUAGAUACCCUUGUAGUC